GGAGUGAAACAGAACCUGAAACCGUGUACGUACAAGCAGUGGGAGCCCCACCACUAAGCCAGUGGUGAACUCCACAUACGCAUCCUUUGCGGAAGAUGCGGUUAACGGAGCGAAAGCGACGUUCAACCUCAGAAGAAGCAGAGGGGGCUUAGUGGUGGGGUGACUGCGUACCUUUUGUAUAAUGGGUCAGCGACUUAUAUUCUGUAGCAAGGUUAACCGCAUAGGGGAGCCGAAGGGAAACCGAGUCUUAAUUGGGCGUUAAGUUGCAGGGUAUAGACCCGAAACCCGGUGAUCUAGCCAUGGGCAGGUUGAAGGUUGGGUAACACUAACUGGAGGACCGAACCGACUAAUGUUGAAAAAUUAGCGGAUGACCUGUGGCUGGGGGUGAAAGGCCAAUCAAACCGGGAGAUAGCUGGUUCUCCCCGAAAGCUAUUUAGGUAGCGCCUCGUGAACUCAUCUCCGGGGGUAGAGCACUGUUUCGGCUAGGGGGCCAUCCCGGCUUACCAACCCGAUGCAAACUGCGAAUACCGGAGAAUGUUAUCACGGGAGACACACGGCGGGUGCUAACGUCCGUCGUGAAGAGGGAAACAACCCAGACCGCCAGCUAAGGUCCCAAAGUCAUGGUUAAGUGGGAAACGAUGUGGGAAGGCCCAGACAGCCAGGAUGUUGGCUUAGAAGCAGCCAUCAUUUAAAGAAAGCGUAAUAGCUCACUGGUCGAGUCGGCCUGCGCGGAAGAUGUAACGGGGCUAAACCAUGCACCGAAGCUGCGGCAGCGACACUGUGUGUUGUUGGGUAGGGGAGCGUUCUGUAAGCCGUUGAAGGUAUCCUGUGAGGGGUGCUGGAGGUAUCAGAAGUGCGAAUGCUGACAUAAGUAACGAUAAAGCGGGUGAAAAGCCCGCUCGCCGGAAGACCAAGGGUUCCUGUCCAACGUUAAUCGGGGCAGGGUGAGUCGACCCCUAAGGCGAGGCCGAAAGGCGUAGUCGAUGGGAAACGGGUUAAUAUUCCCGUACUUGGUGUUACUGCGAAGGGGGGACGGAGAAGGCUAUGUUGGCCGGGCGACGGUUGUCCCGGUUUAAGCGUGUAGGUGUGUGUUCCAGGUAAAUCCGGUUCACUUUAACACUGAGGCGUGAUGACGAGGCACCACGGUGCUGAAGCAACAAAUGCCCUGCUUCCAGGAAAAGCCUCUAAGCAUCAGGUAACAUCAAAUCGUACCCCAAACCGACACAGGUGGUCAGGUAGAGAAUACCAAGGCGCUUGAGAGAACUCGGGUGAAGGAACUAGGCAAAAUGGUGCCGUAACUUCGGGAGAAGGCACGCUGACACGUAGGUGAAGUGAUUUACUCAUGGAGCUGAAGUCAGUCGAAGAUACCAGCUGGCUGCAACUGUUUAUUAAAAACACAGCACUGUGCAAACACGAAAGUGGACGUAUACGGUGUGACGCCUGCCCGGUGCCGGAAGGUUAAUUGAUGGGGUCAGCGCAAGCGAAGCUCCUGAUCGAAGCCCCGGUAAACGGCGGCCGUAACUAUAACGGUCCUAAGGUAGCGAAAUUCCUUGUCGGGUAAGUUCCGACCUGCACGAAUGGCGUAAUGAUGGCCAGGCUGUCUCCACCCGAGACUCAGUGAAAUUGAACUCGCUGUGAAGAUGCAGUGUACCCGCGGCAAGACGGAAAGACCCCGUGAACCUUUACUAUAGCUUGACACUGAACAUUGAGCCUUGAUGUGUAGGAUAGGUGGGAGGCUUUGAAGCGUGGACGCCAGUCUGCGUGGAGCCGACCUUGAAAUACCACCCUUUAAUGUUUGAUGUUCUAACGUGGACCCGUAAUCCGGGUUGCGGACAGUGUCUGGUGGGUAGUUUGACUGGGGCGGUCUCCUCCUAAAGAGUAACGGAGGAGCACGAAGGUUGGCUAAUCCUGGUCGGACAUCAGGAGGUUAGUGCAAUGGCAUAAGCCAGCUUGACUGCGAGCGUGACGGCGCGAGCAGGUGCGAAAGCAGGUCAUAGUGAUCCGGUGGUUCUGAAUGGAAGGGCCAUCGCUCAACGGAUAAAAGGUACUCCGGGGAUAACAGGCUGAUACCGCCCAAGAGUUCAUAUCGACGGCGGUGUUUGGCACCUCGAUGUCGGCUCAUCACAUCCUGGGGCUGAAGUAGGUCCCAAGGGUAUGGCUGUUCGCCAUUUAAAGUGGUACGCGAGCUGGGUUUAGAACGUCGUGAGACAGUUCGGUCCCUAUCUGCCGUGGGCGCUGGAAGACUGAGGGGGGCUGCUCCUAGUACGAGAGGACCGGAGUGGACGCAUCACUGGUGUUCGGGUUGUCAUGCCAAUGGCACUGCCCGGUAGCUAAAUGCGGAAAAGAUAAGUGCUGAAAGCAUCUAAGCACGAAACUUGCCCCGAGAUGAGUCUUCCCUGAGACUUUGAGUCUCCUGAAGGAACGUUAAAGACGAUGACGUUGAUAGGCCGGGUGUGUAAGCGCAGCGAUGCGUUGAGCUAACCGGUACUAAUGAACCGUGAGGCUUAACCUUACAACGCCGAAGCUGUU
Molecule: ribosomal RNA, 2529 nt
Filed under: Salmonella enterica subsp. diarizonae
Lineage: Bacteria; Pseudomonadati; Pseudomonadota; Gammaproteobacteria; Enterobacterales; Enterobacteriaceae
Description: partial 23S ribosomal RNA
Rfam family: Bacterial large subunit ribosomal RNA
Source: RNAcentral